Molecule: ribosomal RNA, 446 nt
Filed under: uncultured bacterium
Lineage: Bacteria
Description: partial 16S ribosomal RNA
Rfam family: Bacterial small subunit ribosomal RNA
Source: RNAcentral
CCUACGGGCGGCAGCAGUGGGGAAUCUUGCGCAAUGCCCGAAAGGGUGACGCAGCGACGCCGCGUGGAGGAUGAAGGCCUUCGGGUUGUAAACUCCUUUCAGCAGGGACGAAGCCGCAAGGUGACGGUACCUGCAGAAGAAGCCCCGGCUAACUACGUGCCAGCAGCCGCGGUAAUACGUAGGGGGCAAGCGUUGUCCGGAUUUAUUGGGCGUAAAGAGCACGUAGGCGGUCUGUCAAGUCAGGGGUGAAAACUCUGGGCUAAACUGGGAGACUGCACUUGAAACUGGCAGACUAGAGUCCAAGAGAGGGAAGUGGAAUUCCUGGUGUAGCGGUAAAAUGCGCAGAUAUUAGGAAGAACCCCAGUGGCGAGGGCGGCUUCCGGGAUUGCGACUGACGCUGAGGUGCGAAAGCUAGGGGAGCAAACAGGUUUAGAUACCCCUGUAGU